CUCAUAUUUGGAUGAAAUAAAAAACAUAAACAAAAUGAUUUCACAAACUCUGGUGCUGGUCUGAAAAGUUCGUCCGGAUCCUAAUAUUGCCGAAACUUUUACUGCAUCUGAAAAACCUGGCUGCAUCAGAGGUAUCAAGGAUCAUGUGAAAUCCGGUGGAAUCGGAAGUUACUGAGAACGGCUUCCAAGGCGCUUUGGGAAGGUGGCAGGGAAUGUCUUCUAUAGGAUCCCGUGAGUUACGCAAAUAAUGUCCUGAAAAGAUACAACAAUCUUUAGACGGUUUCCAUAGUUGGCCGCGUGUUCGUAGCUGUUGCCAACUCUUGCACAAAGUGCCAUGACCCAAUCAAAAAAUUAUGUUAUUUUUCGGAGAAAUACCGCAUUUUGCUUGAUAUCUUUAACCUAUGAACAACACUGUUUCAAAUUGUUGCAACGAAAAGGACUGGAUCUCA
Molecule: long non-coding RNA, 449 nt
Organism: Armigeres subalbatus
Lineage: Eukaryota; Metazoa; Arthropoda; Insecta; Diptera; Culicidae
Exons: 3
Source: RefSeq, a predicted model, not a curated record